RNAcentral lists this transfer RNA (69 nucleotides) under Cottus koreanus. RNAcentral describes it as "tRNA-Met". It matches the Rfam family "tRNA". From Rfam's summary of the family: Transfer RNA (tRNA) molecules are approximately 80 nucleotides in length. Their secondary structure includes four short double-helical elements and three loops (D, anti-codon, and T loops). The record is from RNAcentral. Lineage: Eukaryota; Metazoa; Chordata; Actinopteri; Perciformes; Cottidae.
AGUAAGGUCAGCUAAUUAAGCUCUUGGGCCCAUACCCCAAAUAUGUUGGUUAAAAACCUUCCUUUGCUA